Molecule: ribosomal RNA, 253 nt
Filed under: uncultured bacterium
Lineage: Bacteria
Description: partial 16S ribosomal RNA
Rfam family: Bacterial small subunit ribosomal RNA
Source: RNAcentral
GACGUAGGGGGCGAGCGUUGUCCGGAUUUAUUGGGCGUAAAGCGUGCGUAGGCGGCUGCGCAAGUCGGUUGUGAAACCCCGGGGCUCAACCCCGGAACUGCAUCCGAUACUGCGUGGCUAGAGGUAGGUAGGGGAGAUCGGAAUUCCUGGUGUAGCGGUGAAAUGCGCAGAUAUCAGGAGGAACACCGGUGGCGAAGGCGGGUCUCUGGGUCGGUACUGACGCUGAGGAGCGAAAGCGUGGGGAGCGAACAGG